RNAcentral lists this ribosomal RNA (433 nucleotides) under uncultured bacterium. RNAcentral describes it as "partial 16S ribosomal RNA". It matches the Rfam family "Bacterial small subunit ribosomal RNA", at positions 29 to 507 of the family's 1533-position model. The record is from RNAcentral.
AACGAACGCUGGCGGCAGGCCUAACACAUGCAAGUCGAGCGAGGACUUCGGUCCUAGCGGCGGACGGGUGAGUAACGCGGGGGAACGUGCCCUUUGCUUCGCAAUAGCCCUGGGAAACUGGGAGUAAUACCGGAGGAGCCCUUUGGGGGAAAGAUUUAUCGGCGAAUGAUCGGCCCGCGUUGGAUUAGGUAGUUGGGGGGGUAAUGGCCUACCAAGCCGACGAUCCAUAGCUGGUUUGAGAGGAUGCUCCGCCACACUGGGACUGAGACCCGGCCCAGACUCCUACGGGAGGCAGCAGUAGGGUAUCUUAGACGAUGGGGCCAACUCUGGUCUCGCCAUGUCGCGUGAGCGAUGAAGGCCUUAGGGUUGUACAGCUCUUUCAGCUGGGAAGAUAAUGACGGUACCAGCAGAAGAAGCCCCGGCUAACUCCGUG